UCAGGCCUAACACAUGCAAGUCGCGGGAGAAUCCCGGUCUUCGGACCGGGAGGAGACGGCGGAUGGGUGAGUAAGGCGCAGGCAACCUGCCUGGAGGACGGGGAUAACCUCGCGAAAGCGGGGCUAAUACCCGAUGAUGUGGCGGCCUCGCAUGGGGCGGCCAUCAAAGGCUUCGGUCACCUUCAGAUGGGCCUGCGUGCCAUUAGCUGGUUGGUGGGGUAACGGCCCACCAAGGCGAUGAUGGCUAGGGGGUCUGAGAGGAUGAUCCCCCACACUGGGACUGAGACACGGCCCAGACUCCUACGGGAGGCAGCAGUGAGGAAUCUUGCGCAAUGGGGGCAACCCUGACGCAGCCACGCCGCGUGCCGGAAGACGGCCCUAUGGGUUGUAAACGGCUUUUGGACGGGAAGAACCCCGGAGUUCGACUUCGGCUGACGCCGU
Molecule: ribosomal RNA, 441 nt
Filed under: uncultured bacterium
Lineage: Bacteria
Description: bacterial SSU rRNA
Rfam family: Bacterial small subunit ribosomal RNA
Source: RNAcentral